RNAcentral lists this ribosomal RNA (1071 nucleotides) under Staphylococcus aureus. Its description in RNAcentral is "16S ribosomal RNA". It matches the Rfam family "Bacterial small subunit ribosomal RNA". Lineage: Bacteria; Bacillati; Bacillota; Bacilli; Caryophanales; Staphylococcaceae. The record is from RNAcentral.
UUUUAUGGAGAGUUUGAUCCUGGCUCAGGAUGAACGCUGGCGGCGUGCCUAAUACAUGCAAGUCGAGCGAACGGACGAGAAGCUUGCUUCUCUGAUGUUAGCGGCGGACGGGUGAGUAACACGUGGAUAACCUACCUAUAAGACUGGGAUAACUUCGGGAAACCGGAGCUAAUACCGGAUAAUAUUUUGAACCGCAUGGUUCAAAAGUGAAAGACGGUCUUGCUGUCACUUAUAGAUGGAUCCGCGCUGCAUUAGCUAGUUGGUAAGGUAACGGCUUACCAAGGCAACGAUGCAUAGCCGACCUGAGAGGGUGAUCGGCCACACUGGAACUGAGACACGGUCCAGACUCCUACGGGAGGCAGCAGUAGGGAAUCUUCCGCAAUGGGCGAAAGCCUGACGGAGCAACGCCGCGUGAGUGAUGAAGGUCUUCGGAUCGUAAAACUCUGUUAUUAGGGAAGAACAUAUGUGUAAGUAACUGUGCACANCAAGGUAGCCGUAUCGGAAGGUGCGGCUGGAUCACCUCCUUUCUAAGGAUAUAUUCGGAACAUCUUCUUCAGAAGAUGCGGAAUAACGUGACAUAUUGUAUUCAGUUUUGAAUGUUUAUUUAACAUUCAAAUAUUUUUUGGUUAAAGNCCCUUAAGCUUAGUUGCCAUCAUUAAGUUGGGCACUCUAAGUUGACUGCCGGUGACAAACCGGAGGAAGGUGGGGAUGACGUCAAAUCAUCAUGCCCCUUAUGAUUUGGGCUACACACGUGCUACAAUGGACAAUACAAAGGGCAGCGAAACCGCGAGGUCAAGCAAAUCCCAUAAAGUUGUUCUCAGUUCGGAUUGUAGUCUGCAACUCGACUACAUGAAGCUGGAAUCGCUAGUAAUCGUAGAUCAGCAUGCUACGGUGAAUACGUUCCCGGGUCUUGUACACACCGCCCGUCACACCACGAGAGUUUGUAACACCCGAAGCCGGUGGAGUAACCUUUUAGGAGCUAGCCGUCGAAGGUGGGACAAAUGAUUGGGGUGAAGUCGUAACAAGGUAGCCGUAUCGGAAGGUGCGGCUGGAUCACCUCCUUUCUAAGGA